UGGGGAAUAUUGGACAAUGGGCGCAAGCCUGAUCCAGCAAUGCCGCGUGUGUGAAGAAGGCCUUCGGGUUGUAAAGCACUUUUAUCAGGAGCGAAACGCUGUCGGCUAAUACCCGGCGGAACUGACGGUACCUGAGGAAUAAGCACCGGCUAACUUCGUGCCAGCAGCCGCGGUAAUACGAAGGGUGCAAAGCUGAUUAAUGACGGAAUUACUGGGCGUAAAAGCGUGCGUAGGCGGUUUCUUAAGUCUGCUGUGAAAAUCCCCGGGCUCAACCUGGGAAUGGCAGUGGAUACUGGGAGGCUAGAGUGUGUCAGAGGGUGGUGGAAUUCCCGGUGUAGCGGUGAAAUGCGUAGAGAUCGGGAGGAACAUCAGUGGCGAAGGCGGCCACCUGGGACAACACUGACGCUGAGGCACGAAAAGCGUGGGGAGCAAACAGGAUUAGAUACCCUGGUAGUCCACGCCCUAAAACGAUGCGAACUGGAUGUUGGUCUCAACUCGGAGAUCAGUGUCG
Molecule: ribosomal RNA, 511 nt
Filed under: uncultured bacterium
Lineage: Bacteria
Description: partial 16S ribosomal RNA
Rfam family: Bacterial small subunit ribosomal RNA
Source: RNAcentral